ACCAAAGCCUUGAUCUAUUCGACAAACUAGGAUGGCAGGAGACAGCGGCAAGGACAAGGCCAUAGUCGUAAGGGUAUCUGGCGUGCACUGCAAUUACUGGUACGUGAUUGAGGAGAAGUCGGCGAUCGACGUCGAUGACGACAACACGAUGGUCGGAUGUAAAUCUGAUCAUGAAAGAGUAAGACGCCUCUCUUUGGUAAAUGAAGAUGAGGAACCUCUCAUAUAUUCAAGCAGCCUUGUCGUCAUAAACUCCACCAUAUACCUGAUUGGUGGUGAUGGUUAUUGUCCACCAAAAUCGGAUGAUGAACGGCUUGCUUAUCGACGCUUAGAUCUGGGAGGAGGGUGGUGGCGGCCGGACAUCGGCGGGAAUUUGAUGAACAAUCAAGGUGGCGGAGCAGCUGUUGGCCCCGACGGUAAUAUUUACACGGUGGGAUACAAUAUAUAUCGAUUCUCUCCUCAUGGGACUUUCCAUGAGGAGUUAGUAUCCCCGCCAAGCAGGGGCUACAUCAAACACCUACGUCUUCUUGGUGUUACUAGCAAAACGCUUUUCGUCUACACCGUGGAAGGGGGCGUGGAUGGUGCCAAUCGGAUGCUUGGUUUUGAUUUCGAAUCAAGACGGUGGGAUGUCCUUAGUGACUACUACCGUGGCGACUGGUCUGCGGGAGUCGUGCUUUACGACCGGUACUUGUUUUCCUUUUGCUGUCAGGAUCCUACAUGCCUGCAAGAAGCGGAUGUUCCUGGGAGUCGUGCUUUACGACCGGUACUUGUUUCCUUUUGCUGUCAGGAUCCUACAUGCCUGCAAGAAGCGGAUGUUCCUGGGAUUUAUGUAUUCGAUAUUGAGCGGUGUCAAUGGCUCCCCAAACCUGUUGAGGGCCUCCCUACUGAUGGAAAAGUCCUCCCACUUAUUUUCACGCCAGACCCUGUCGCGUACAUGCCAUCAUAUUACGCGGCAUUCUUGUUCCAAAUCGGAAACCAAGACCCCCACAAGUUGGCUUUGCUGUGGGACGUUCAUGGUGCACAUCCUGAAUCUAAUGGGCAUCAAGUGACCAUUGUCUGGGCCAAGUUUGUACUCAACCGCACCACUGAUCACUUCUGCGCCACUUCAGUCUCAAGUGGAUCAUGUCCGCUUGAUGAUGAAACCUUCGAGGUGAUCAACUGUGCAGCAGGAAUGUGAGCUCUGUGUAAUCCAUUGCAGAAUCUCUGAUAUGUAGUCCAUUUCUGUUGAGACCGCUAUUGUAUUAUUUUCCUGUUUAAGUAAUAAUAAAUUUCUACUUGAUUUGUUCUCUUGAAAGAUAUACCAUUUCCUAUCUGUGUCUCGUUUUAUUUAGUAUACAGUGAUAUAUAUACAUAGCCCAUGUCACAAAGAUAUACCAUUUCCUAUCUGUUUAAAUAUGUCUGCAGCAAUGUUGAAGAGGGUUUCGUUUUUUCUGGAGAUACAGCCCAGACUAUAGCAAGGGGUAUUGAUUUUAGAUUCCAAGAUAUACGACAUCUCUUUUACAAGAAGUUUGUAUUGGAAUCAUGAAGCAAAAAACAUGACUAUAGGAAAGAAAAAGGUCAAAUCUCAGACAUAUUUCAUCUGACACAAAACUUCCGAAGCCAUGAUGGAAUACUGAAGUUGUUACAAAGUACUGUUGAACUGAUUUAUUGUUUUUCCCCCUCUAUAUUGAUGUGUUAAAUCCAGAAACGAGUAUGAUAAAUGGGGAGGCUCCGAUUAUACUUUAUUCUGGUGAUGAUGAAAAGCUAUUCAAAAAAAUUCUCAGAAGUGGUGGGAUUAUUUCCGGAAAUAUGGGUGGCUUUGGUGCAGAUCAAGUUGUUUUGAUCCGUGAUGAUUGUUCUCGGUAAGAAAUAUGUGGCUUUUUUUUUUUUAAUGAAAAAAAUCUUCCAGAAGGUUAUAACACUGAGCAGCCUAAAAAUGCAACAGUUCUAGAAUCUGUGGCGCCUGACACUCUUGUAGAGAAAAGAGAGUCAGACUUUUCUGAAGGCUCUUUACUUGCAAAUAUCAGUCAUGAACCAAGAGAGGUUUCUCUUUUGUGGAGGUUGCAUCAUGACACUCUUGUAGAGAAAAGAGAGUCAGACUUUUCUGAAGGCUCUUUACUCGGAAAUAUCAGUCAUGAACCAAGAGAGGUUUCUCUUUUGUGGAGGUUCCAUGAUGCAUUGUUUGAAACAUAUAGGGAGAAUUGGAGUUUACGUUGCUACAGUACUUCACCUGAUUGCUUCUUGUAUCUUGUAGAUUGCCUUCUGUUUCUGAUAUGUUGCUUUCAAGGUUAUGUAAUCACUACAAGAUCUUGUUUUGUUGAAAGGGUGAUAUAUAAGGAGGAACAUUACCAAGUAAUAGUGGAUGAUGUUCGAAUGUCUUUUGAAUGCAUCCUUCAGUUUCUGACUGAUGUGGUCCGGGAAUUUAUUUUUAAUGAGAUGAAGAUGACUGAAUGGACUAAAAAGUUUACCAAGAGUAGUUGGAAGUUGCAUUACUCGCUACUGACACGGAGAUUGGUUUCUGUGUUAUGUUUGCUUCAUUUGAAUUUUGGGAUGGGUUUUGAUAUUCUGUUGGAUUUGCUGAGGAGGGUUUAGGGUUUUGCUAUGCCCUUAGGGGAAUUGCAUCUUUAAGUGAUUCUCUUAGUAGGCAUGUUGAUUUGGUAGCUCGGGCUUUUAAGGAGAUCCGCAAUCCUUUGGUGGUUGCAAGUUUUGGGAUUGAUUGUUCAAGGUUCUUCUCGUCAGAUGUCAUUUUCAUCAACAUGAAGUCUAACUUAUGCAUGUAGGUCUCUGUUUCCAGAACACUCUAUGGUUCCUUCUUCUUCAGAAGGGCAAACACACACCACUGAAAUCCUUCGGCAUUGGAACAGAAGUAACUUCCCAAUGGAUUUUGAUCCCUUGUGGGAAAUAUUUAAAGGGUUUAAACCAACAAAAGGAAGAGAACAAUGCAAUAUAUUUUCAGAUGCCUCACCAAUAAAGGUAAUACUAGCUUAGGUCUUACAUGGUUCAGAUUAGCCAGCGAUUCAUUGUAUUGAAUUUUUCCUUGACGUUCUUUUCAGUUGGAUGUGGAGAAGAUUAUCCGGCUAUUGGCUGCUGCAUGCAUGGUCUGGCCUUGACAAAGAAGAAGUUAAGUUAUCCAGAGAAGUGCUGUGCCCGCUGGAUGAAUUGGUGCAACUCUAUGCCGCAUUAGAUGGAAGGUACUUUAUAAACAUUUUGAUUGUCUUAAGAUAGCGUUCGUGUCAGCAUGAUAGCCUUUACAUUUCCUAUUUUCCGGGAUCUCAUCUCAUCAAUCUUCGUUUUUCUAUUCUCAGUGAACAAGAACUUGGAAACAAUAUGGCUACAGUUGCAAAACUUUCCAGGAGGUUGCAGUGGAGAUGUCAAAGAUUCUAUUGGCCGGAAUCUUCACUGAACUAUAUUCGGAGCACAACAUGAAACUAGCUAAGGGAGGCACAUGAGGCUGUUGACUAGUCUGGACACCACAUUGAGGCUGGAAAUCACGGUGACAGUGAAGCUGAAGAAAAUAGCAUUACUACUGCUUCCAAUUCAAAGCAUUCAAGUUGAUCUCUCCUUUUUCGAUUAUUAGGCCCAUUAGCUUUUGGACUUUUCAGGCUAACAAUGGUUAAUGUUUUUGUACUUCACUACACCUGGCCUGGCCCGGCCCGGCCCAAAUAAAGCACAAACUCUGAGAUUUCUUCACGUUUACGUUUUUGUUCUCCUCUGUUAUUGUGCCCAAGUCUCUCAAAAGGGAGUCUUGGAAUUUGAAAAGUAACCCCACGAACACGAAACGUUCACUCACCUUUCACUUUUACAGUCGAAAAUUCUUCCAUUUACAGGGUAAAAAUUCACUCUAGUGACGUGGCAACAUGUGUGAGUCGAUUAUGGAUUUCGACUAACUCUCUGUUAACGUUUUAACUGAAAUUAGAAAGAAAAAAAAGAAACAAAGAUGAGGCGAUUAUAAAGUUUGCUUCUCGUCAAACAUUGAGCUACCGUUGUUUCUUGAUACUAACUUUGAGAGAAGCAGACACUUUUGUAUAAUUCUAUUUACUGACUAUUUAGCUUACAGUAAAAUGGUUCAGUAAUAAUAUGAACAUUAAUAACGUGUCUUGGAAAAUAACCUAUAAUAGGAACCUACUAGAGAGCCCACAAGCACAAACCCAAGCCCAAGGUAUGAAUGGCCCGUGCCCUGUCUGUGUAUAUUUAGAGAUAGACGACCGCCAAAGAGAAACAAAAGGGAGGAACCAAAGCCUUGAUCUAUUCGACAAACUAGGAUGGCAGGAGACAGCGGCAAGGACAAGGACAUAGUCGUAAGGGUAUCUGGCCUGGAAGGCAAUUACUGGUACGUGAUUGAGGAGAAGUCGGCGAUCGACGUCGAUGACGACAACACGAUGAUCGGAUGUAAAUCUGAUCAUGACAGAGUAAGACGCCUCUGUUGGGUACGUGAAGAUGAGGAACCUUGCCUGGGUUCAAGCAGCCUUGUCGUCCUAAACUCCACUAUAUACCUCAUUGGUGGUGAUGGUGAACUAUAUCCACCAGAUGCUGAACGGGUUGGUUAUCGACUCUUAGAUCUGGGCGGAGGGGGAUGGCGGCUGGGCGGCGGCAACGUGUAUUUGAUGAACUAUCAAGCUGGCGGAGCAGCUGUUGGCCCCGACGGUAAUAUUUACACGGUGGGAUACAAUAUAUAUCGAUUCUCUCCUCAUGGAACUUUCACUGAGAAGUUGGUAUCCCCGCCAAGCAGCAAACAACCACGUCUUCUUGGUGUUACUAGCAAAACGCUUUUCAUCUACACCGAGCAAGGGGGCGUGGAAGGUGCCAAUCGGAUGCUUGGUUUUGAUUUCGAAUCAAGACGGUGGGAUGUCCUUACUGACUACUACCGUGGCAAGUGGUCUGCGGGAGUCGUGCUUUACGACGACCGGUACUUGUUUUCCUUUUGCCAUCAGGAUCCUACACGCCUGGAAGAAGAGGAUGUUCCUGGGAUUUAUGUAUUCGAUAUUGAGCGGUGUCAAUGGCUCCCCAAACCUGUUGAGGGCCUCCCUAC
This 5005-nucleotide long non-coding RNA is filed under the name Fragaria vesca (wild strawberry). Its description in RNAcentral is "long non-coding RNA (FVES_LNC002125)". The record is from RNAcentral. Lineage: Eukaryota; Viridiplantae; Streptophyta; Magnoliopsida; Rosales; Rosaceae.